RNAcentral lists this long non-coding RNA (895 nucleotides) under Heterocephalus glaber (naked mole-rat). RNAcentral describes it as "lncRNA (ENSHGLG00100046950.1)". Lineage: Eukaryota; Metazoa; Chordata; Mammalia; Rodentia; Bathyergidae. The record is from RNAcentral.
UCCCACCCUACCUCCCUGCCCCACUUCUGCGCCCUGGGUUCUGAAUUACCAGUCAGAUUCCCUCACUUCGCUGCUCGGAUCCCUUCAGCAUCCUUCCAUCUCACUAGGAAUAAAAUACAGAAUCUCGACCACACUUCGCAAGCCCUCGUCUGCUGUAUCCUUCCAGGCACACACUGGCUUCGUGGCAUCUCGGCUCUUCUCUCGUCUCCUGAAUCCUCUCCCUGUCACCUGUGGACCUGGCCGGGGCAGUUCCCUCGGGGGCCGUUUACCUGGGCUGUUUCUGCGCUCACGUACCCACAGGAGGUGCGUGGUAGAACACCAGGCAUGUGCGUGUUCUCCCCAUGGAGGCGGUGGAGAGACAGGACAGGCUGCAGGAGGAGGCCAAAGACAGAGUCUCAGGGCCCGGGACCCUCACCAUGUGGUUCGCUUUGGACAGAAAGAAAGGUGAAGCCACUAUGCACUGUGCUUUCCUUGACACACAAGCUGUGGGCAGGUGUGUGGCCUCGCGGGUGGUAUCCAAGGGCAGGCCCAAGACCUCAGGUGUCUCCCUGAAGGGAGAAGCCUCCCUGGGGCCCGCAUGUCCAGACUGCAGCAAGUCCUCUUCCACGCUCUGCCCGGAUGGCGUCCAGCAGCUGUGUCAGCAAGCUUCCUCUCCUGUUUCAAGCCUCUUUCCCCUCAGUAGGGCAGUUUUUCUGACCGAACCCUGACUGAUAGUUACAGAGACUGAGCAGAAAGGAGGGCAAACCCAGUCAUCCAGGUGCCCACGCUGGAGGGCACCCUAGGCCCAGGGAAGGGGGGGCCUCGGGCCCCGGCACCUGACUUCUGGACUGGGCCAGCUUCCCUGAAAUCCCGAGUCUGUGUGCAGCCCUCACACAUCACAGAUCCUUUCAACGAG